Long non-coding RNA from Thalassophryne amazonica, 133 nucleotides. RefSeq lists it as uncharacterized. The record is from RefSeq and is a predicted model, not a curated record. The transcript is spliced from 3 exons. Lineage: Eukaryota; Metazoa; Chordata; Actinopteri; Batrachoidiformes; Batrachoididae.
ACCUUCCCUAGCGACUAAAAAUCCUAUCUAGCAACUAGCAACAAAUCUGGUGACUUAUAUUCCACAUAAACCGGUCAGUUUAGUAAAAAUGGUAUUGUUUGGAAUGUUCUGGAAUUGGGGCUAGAAAAGACAG